UAAGGAGAGGGAAACCACAAACUUCAGCAAAACCGAAGGCAUAAGAUCAACAUUAACGGUGAUACGUGUCGUCGUCUCGUGCUUCUCUUUCUCUUUCUCUUUUUCUCGACAGAAUCAAUGGCCUUGCCUCCGCCCAUGGCGUUUCUGUUGAUCUCUUUGACGGACCAGUAUUAACACGGCGGCGGAGCAGAAUCCGGCGAAGCCCGUGGUGGAGACGAAGAGCGCGAUGCGGAGGGAGACGCGAGAAGAUCAAGCCUCAGCUAGGAAAAACUGUGUAAAGUUCAUCCCUUUAGGCUCAAGUCACUGUGCUGACAAUCGCAAGGGAACAACAAACCUGACAUUGAGCCUUUGAUGACUUAAACGAAGUUUUGCAGGUGAAGCUUUGUUGUUACAAGAUGUGUUUCUUCUCCUUCAAGUGUUUGUCCUUAUCAGGUUUCUGAGUCUACCACCACAACCCUCCACAGGGACAUUGUUACAAGAUGUGUUUCAUCUCAUCACAGAGGAUGUGGAUUUAAAGCCUAUGGAAGCUAACGUCACGCUUGGUUGCGGUCAGAGAUAGACAGGUCUGUUCCAGAACCGUCAAGCUGUGAACGGUGUUCUCGGGCUUGGUGUGAAGGACUACUCUGUUCCUAGCCUUCUUGCAAAGGCCAAACUCGCCGAACAACGAGACAAGAUUAAUAAGGACCUGUUGAUAUGCUUUCGCUUCAGUUUUUGCAGGUGAAGCUUGUGACAAGAAGGACCUGUUGAUUGAGGCUACUACUCAGAUCAGAACAUUGCUUUGUAGUGGUAAGAGUCAUCCUGUUUAAUUUAGUUUUGCUAGACUACACUGCAAUGUGAUCCCUUUGUGUAUUGUAUUGUGUGUAUUUUGUGUGUAUUGUGUGUGUUCUG
This is a long non-coding RNA of Raphanus sativus (radish), 888 nucleotides long. RefSeq lists it as uncharacterized. Lineage: Eukaryota; Viridiplantae; Streptophyta; Magnoliopsida; Brassicales; Brassicaceae. The record is from RefSeq and is a predicted model, not a curated record. The transcript is spliced from 5 exons.